AGUGAACGCUGGCGGUAGGCCUAACACAUGCAAGUCGAACGGCAGCACAGUAAGAGCUUGCUCUUACGGGUGGCGAGUGGCGGACGGGUGAGGAAUACAUCGGAAUCUACUUUUUCGUGGGGGAUAACGUAGGGAAACUUACGCUAAUACCGCAUACGACCUACGGGUGAAAGCAGGGGAUCUUCGGACCUUGCGCGAUUGAAUGAGCCGAUGUCGGAUUAGCUAGUUGGCGGGGUAAAGGCCCACCAAGGCGACGAUCCGUAGCUGGUCUGAGAGGAUGAUCGGCCCCCCUGGACCUGGGCCCCGGCCAGACUCCUACGGGAGGCAGCAGUGGGGAAUAUUGGACAAUGGGCGCAAGCCUGAUCCAGCCAUACCGCGUGGGUGAAGAAGGCCUUCGGGUUGUAAAGCCCUUUUGUUGGGAAAGAAAAGCAGCAGGUUAAUACCCCGCUGUUCUGACGGUACCCAAAGAAUAAGCACCGGCUAACUUCGUG
RNAcentral lists this ribosomal RNA (491 nucleotides) under uncultured bacterium. RNAcentral describes it as "partial 16S ribosomal RNA". It matches the Rfam family "Bacterial small subunit ribosomal RNA", at positions 29 to 507 of the family's 1533-position model. The record is from RNAcentral.